GUCAACAUCCUUAACGAAUGUAAUCACGUUCUAACCUGUUGAACGUUAUCUUAGAUAACCGUAAGCACGCUUUCGGCACCUGAGCAACUUUCAGAGGCCAGACGGAUAGCCCAAGGGGUAUUCGUUGCAAUCCUCAGCCUCAAUCACCACAUCUACCAGAGGCUAUAACACUUCAACCGAAAUCGAAGCUACAUUCCGCCGGUCAUUUUAUGAUAAUCGAAACUGACGUUGGCCUACCAUACGAAAAAGUACACCCAAAACGCACAAACAUGCAAACAGCGAGGCCGAAACUCACGCACGCCCACAAGUACGCACACGAUAAGUUGAUUUCUCGUCGGUACGACUGACUUCAAUCGUUUCCCUUUCAA
Molecule: ribosomal RNA, 368 nt
Filed under: uncultured Glomeromycotina
Lineage: Eukaryota; Fungi; Glomeromycota
Description: partial 28S ribosomal RNA
Source: RNAcentral